RNAcentral lists this ribosomal RNA (274 nucleotides) under uncultured bacterium. Its description in RNAcentral is "partial 16S ribosomal RNA". It matches the Rfam family "Bacterial small subunit ribosomal RNA", at positions 523 to 796 of the family's 1533-position model. The record is from RNAcentral.
CUACGGAGGGUGCAAGCGUUAAUCGGAAUCACUGGGCGUAAAGCGUACGUAGGCGGUCCGUUAAGUUAGAUGUGAAAGCCCCGGGCUUAACCUGGGAACUGCAUUUAAAACUGGCGGACUAGAGUUGAGUAGAGGGGAGUGGAAUUUCAGGUGUAGCGGUGAAAUGCGUAGAGAUCUGAAGGAACACCAGUGGCGAAGGCGACUCCCUGGACUCGAACUGACGCUGAGGUACGAAAGCGUGGGUAGCAAACGGGAUUAGAAACCCCAGUAGUCC